UCCACGCCGUAAACGAUGAUAACUCGUUGUUGGCGAUACACAGUCAGCGACUAAGGGAAACCGAUAAGUUAUCCACCUGGGGAGUACGGUCGCAAGAUUGAAACUCAGAGGAAUUGACGGGGGCCCGCACAAGCGGUGGAGCAUGUGGUUUAAUUCGAUGAUACGCGAGGAACCUUACCCGGGCUCAAAUGCUGGACGACAGUCCCUGAAAGGGGAUCUCCCGGGCGUAGCGG
RNAcentral lists this ribosomal RNA (233 nucleotides) under uncultured bacterium. RNAcentral's name for it is "partial 16S ribosomal RNA". It matches the Rfam family "Bacterial small subunit ribosomal RNA", at positions 794 to 1025 of the family's 1533-position model. The record is from RNAcentral.